This 127-nucleotide small RNA is filed under the name Marmota monax (woodchuck). The record is from RNAcentral. Lineage: Eukaryota; Metazoa; Chordata; Mammalia; Rodentia; Sciuridae.
GCCAGGAAUGGUGGUGCAUGCCUGUAAUCCCAGUGGCUUGGGAGGCUGAGUCAGGAGGAUCAUGAGUUCAAAGCCAGUCUCAGCAACUUAGUGAAGCCCUAAGCAACUCAGUGAGACCCUGUAUCUA